AAUGACGGAAGGGCACCACCAGGAGUGGAGCUUGCGGCUUAAUUUGACUCAACACGGGACAACUCACCAGGCCCGGACACCGUAAGGAUUGACAGACUGAUAGCUCUCUCUUGAUUCAGUGGGUGGUGGUGCAUGGCCGUUCUUAGUUGGUGGAGUGAUUUGUCUGGUUUAUUCCGAUAACGAACGAGACUCUGGCCUAUUAAACUUGAUGCCGCCAGUCCUUAUGUGACUGCGGUAUGCUUCUUAGAGGGAUCAUCGGCGUCCCAGCCGAAGGAAAGGGAGCAAUAACAGGUCUGUGAUGCCCUUAGAUGUUCUGGGCUGCACGCGUGUUACACUGAAGUGGUCAGCGCGCCGUUCAACGUCCCACUCCGAGAGGAGCGGGCAAACGUUUGAACCCUUUUCGUGAUGGGAAUUGGGGGUUGCAAUUGUCCCCCAUGAACGAGGAAUUCCAAGUAAGCGCAGGUCACUAGCCUGCGUUGAUUAAGUCCCUGCCCUUUGUACACACCGCCCGUCGCUACUACCGAUGGAUGAUUUGGUGAGGUCGCCUAGACUGGCCACUGGCUUAGGCCGUGUGGCCGGGAAGACGCCCAAACUUGGUC
RNAcentral lists this ribosomal RNA (599 nucleotides) under Heteralepas newmani. RNAcentral's name for it is "SSU rRNA". It matches the Rfam family "Eukaryotic small subunit ribosomal RNA", at positions 1146 to 1770 of the family's 1831-position model. Lineage: Eukaryota; Metazoa; Arthropoda; Thecostraca; Heteralepadidae. The record is from RNAcentral.